UAGCUCACUGGAAGAGCGUUAGACCUCUACUCUAAAGGGCCUGUUCAAGUCAGGCA
Molecule: transfer RNA, 56 nt
Filed under: Crassvirales sp.
Lineage: Duplodnaviria; Heunggongvirae; Uroviricota; Caudoviricetes; Crassvirales
Description: tRNA-Arg
Rfam family: tRNA
About the family: Transfer RNA (tRNA) molecules are approximately 80 nucleotides in length. Their secondary structure includes four short double-helical elements and three loops (D, anti-codon, and T loops). Further hydrogen bonds mediate the characteristic L-shaped molecular structure. tRNAs have two regions of fundamental functional importance: the anti-codon, which is responsible for specific mRNA codon recognition, and the 3' end, to which the tRNAs corresponding amino acid is attached (by aminoacyl-tRNA synthetases). tRNAs cope with the degeneracy of the genetic code in two manners: having more than one tRNA (with a specific anti-codon) for a particular amino acid; and 'wobble' base-pairing, i.e. permitting non-standard base-pairing at the 3rd anti-codon position.
Source: RNAcentral